UGCUCUUUCCCCGUCUCUGCCUCUCCAGCUCUGUCUCUCCACCUCUCUGCCGUCCUAUCUGAAGGUGGCAGAGCUGGGGUCCCAGGCACUGCGGGGCCCAGUGUGUGUGGUUGGACCCGAGUGUGCAGGGCGGGCGGGCCCAUGCCUCGUGUGGGGACCCCUGGACGGGCAGGCAGGGGUCUUCAGGGAGGGGUGGGGCAGGAGCAGGAAGCAAGGGCCCCUUCCCCGGAGAGCAGGCGCCGCACCCUCCUGUCCGCCUUAGGCGCUCAGCCGGCAGCUUUAACCUGAGCAGCCCUUUUCACGUCUCCCCGCCCCAGCUUCCUCAUCGGCAAGGUGGGGACAGCAACACCUUCCUCUCAGGCCGGGCGAAGGGGCUUGGGAGCUAGCACAACGGAAGCCACGGGCAGGACCCACGUGCAAAGCAGCGGGGACACGCCUGCCCCGUCCCUCUCUGGGGCUGGACUCCACGGGCACGUAAAUAUUUGCCGAACAAGAACAAAUUCCACAAGUGGCAGAACUGCCUUUAGAAAACAUUCUAUUUGCACAAGGGCUGGCCACACCGGCCCUGCGACCGAGGGGGGACGUUUAUGCCUGAACACAGCCGCGCAGAGCGGCCGACAGGGCUGGGCUCCCGCGCCAGAUGCUGCCUCUUCACUUCACUCGGAUUCAGAAAGUGACGGCGACGGGCCGUCGUCCCUGAGGCCUGCCCGGUGCCAGCGGUUCCGCGUGGCAUCUCACUCUACCCGGAGACAAGCUUGAUCCCGGUGCCACUUCGCCACGGGGGAGCCUGAGGCGGCCGCCCACCCAUUCGCUCAACGCACAUUUGCGGGUGCCCACCAGGUGCCGGGCACUGUGCCGCGCUCUGGGCAACAGGUGCCUAGAGAGGGGGCAGGGUCCCGUGGGAGCAGUCCAAGCCCUACUGCGGGCGCACAAUAGAAACAACACAGUUCCGGAGAGUGACGCCACCGUAGGGAAGAGUGGGGAAGUGCGGCGUGGCGGGUGGGGUCUAGAGAAGGAGGUGUCCAGGCCAGGUGUCCCCACCCCCCAGACGCUAAGGCCUGAGGCCUGACCAAGUCGAGGGCACCUGGGGAAGGGCAGAGUCGCCGGGGUGCCCGCAGUCCAGGGGCCUCAGUGGAGCCCCCCACUACCACUGCCGACAGUAAAGCCAGGUGACCGCCUAACCCCACCGAGUCCACACCCUGCUCGUUUUCUCAGUGCCUGGUUGGAGGUGCAGGAGAGAGGAAGGGAAAGGCCAGAAGCCAGACAGCCAGGCUGGGCAGGGACCCGGCAGGACCAGGUAGGCUGAAAGGGGACCCUGCCCAGUGGGGUCUCAGAGGGUCCCCACAGAAGCCAAAGGGCCUCGACCCCCUGUAAGUGGCCUCUGUCCUUACCACCGGGCCUCUGUCCUUUCCACUCGGCCUCCCUUCCUCCCUCCUCUCCCUCCCCUUCUCUCUGCAGACAGGGGUUCUCUCUCUCGGCCCACUCAGCAACUACUGCAGACACAGCCGGGCUGCCGGGCGCCACUCACAUCUCACGCUGCUGAGAGCCCCUGCCAGCUUCUGCAGGGGGACGAGGGACAAACUGAUGACGAGGUUGGGGGGGCAAAGGCCGAGUGGACGGAGGAGCGGGCAGACGCCCCCCAACACACACACCCAGCCCCUCAAUGUGGGAACGUGGGAGCAGGGCGAGCACUGGCCACGGAGUCAGACGGACCCGGGCUUGCAUGUGGACCCUGACUCUUUCUUCACUUAUGAGUAGAGCAUAAGGACAGACCCCACUGUGACAGAGCCCCUCCUGAACGUCCUGGGAACCCGCAGAGUCCAGCACACACCCGAGUCCCCACAGCGCGUCCAGCCCGGCGUCGGCACCUGCGGCGUGCGCAGUCAGUUAGGGAACGAAGCAAAGUUCAGAGAGGAGGAGCGAGGUCGAGAGCAGCUGGUGCAGAGCUCAGCCGUGGGCCACGUUCCCUGCAAGCCCUCAUUAACUCAGAACAGUCCUGGGGGGCGGAUUCCAUUAUCCCCAUUCUGCUGAUGAGAAAAACAAAUCUGAGAGGUCACACAGGUCUCCCAGGGUCACACAGCUCCUUCGGGGGCCUGGCCUCUCUCUUGGCCCCUGCUCGGCCCAAACGCCGCGCCUUGGAAUCAUGUCUGCCUGCCAGUCCUGAAGGCCCCACUGGGAAGUGGAAGGGAGGGGAACUCACGUCUAUCUCCAUCUGUUCGAUGUUUCUGCUCUGCCCCAACCCCCAGCAGCCCAGCCACUGGCCGGGUGUGGGACCGGAGGGCUUGAGGCCACAGGGAGGGUGGGCGGGUGGCUGGGAGGGAGCCUGCUCCCUGCUCCUCCACUGGCACUGCCAACACCAGAAGCUGGCAGCACGGAGCAGACCAGAAGCCCCUUGGACGUGUGAGGACCAUGGGCGGGAAGGGGGGCAACCCUGAGCUGGGAGCUGAAGAGCCGCCACCCCCUCGCCUGCCCUCCUUCCAGAGGAAACCGAGGUUCCAAAACGUUAAACUGUGAUGCAUCCAAAGCUUACAAUGACCAAGGGACCAAGGCCAGGUGUGUGGAUGUAAUACCCAGAGCUUGUCUGAGCGGUAGCCGGGCGGCUUCUGUUUCUGAGCCCCUCCCUGCUUCUUCCUGCACCCCGGGGCGGCCCCUGGCUGCCGGCUGUCCCGUGUGCAUCCUGCGCUGGGCCUCCUCCUUCCUCAGACGCCCCCCCUCGUCCCCCCGGAACUUUGACCCUGGUCUCCUGCCACCCAGAACAUUCUCCGCCAACCACGUGGCCACUCACACUCCAUGCAGAAGUUUGCGUAAAUGUCCCCUCCUCAGAGAGGACUUCUCUGACCGUCCUUUUGCUUAAAAUCAUAGGCAUGGGCUGGGGGAGAGGGGUCGGGAUAAAUGACACAAGACGGCCACGCCGGAUGAUGGUCACAGGGGGGCUCGUUGCUCUCUCUACCUUUCUAUAUGUUUGUAAUUUCCCAUAAUAAAAGUUUUUAAAAUAAUAUUAAGCCUCAACCCUGUGCCAGGCACAGCUCUGGGACACAGACAGAACUAAGGCUGUCACGGAGCCGCUUGCAAACGGACAGACACGUGACACAGUCAGGUGGCAUUAAAGGCUGUGAAGGGAAAUAAAACAGGCUAAUGGGCAGAAGUGA
Non-coding RNA from Microcebus murinus (gray mouse lemur), 3149 nucleotides. The record is from RefSeq and is a predicted model, not a curated record. NCBI's taxonomy places the organism in Eukaryota, Metazoa, Chordata, Mammalia, Primates, Cheirogaleidae.